GACGAACGCUGGCGGCGUGCUUAACACAUGCAAGUCGAACGGAAAGGCCCUGCUUUUGUGGGGUGCUCGAGUGGCGAACGGGUGAGUAACACGUGAGUAACCUGCCCUUGACUUUGGGAUAACUUCAGGAAACUGGGGCUAAUACCGGAUAGGAGCUCCUGCUGCAUGGUGGGGGUUGGAAAGUUUCGGCGGUUGGGGAUGGACUCGCGGCUUAUCAGCUUGUUGGUGGGGUAGUGGCUUACCAAGGCUUUGACGGGUAGCCGGCCUGAGAGGGUGACCGGCCACAUUGGGACUGAGAUACGGCCCAGACUCCUACGGGAGGCAGCAGUGGGGAAUAUUGCACAAUGGGCGGAAGCCUGAUGCAGCAACGCCGCGUGCGGGAUGACGGCCUUCGGGUUGUAAACCGCUUUCGCCUGUGACGAAGCGUG
Molecule: ribosomal RNA, 428 nt
Filed under: uncultured Propionibacterium sp.
Lineage: Bacteria; Bacillati; Actinomycetota; Actinomycetes; Propionibacteriales; Propionibacteriaceae
Description: bacterial SSU rRNA
Rfam family: Bacterial small subunit ribosomal RNA
Source: RNAcentral